Molecule: unclassified non-coding RNA, 279 nt
Filed under: air metagenome
Description: partial contains small subunit ribosomal RNA, internal transcribed spacer 1, and 5.8S ribosomal RNA
Rfam family: Eukaryotic small subunit ribosomal RNA (bases 1-46)
Source: RNAcentral
AAGUCGUAACAAGGUUUCCGUAGGUGAACCUGCGGAAGGAUCAUUAACGUAUCUCUGGCGGUGAGGGUGCGCCCUGCUCCGGCCCCAGCGGCCGUGCAGCGGGUGUCCCGAGCCUGCCCAACCUUUGCAAACCCACUGUGCACUCAUGUCGGCAGAGGGCCCCCACGCAGUUGGGGGCUCCGAGCCGGAUCACAAACUACCAAAUUCAAAAGUAUGACAAGCGGACAGUGUUCUGCCUAAAAUCAAUAACAACUUUCAACAACGGAUCUCUUGGCUCUC